Molecule: long non-coding RNA, 452 nt
Organism: Microplitis demolitor
Lineage: Eukaryota; Metazoa; Arthropoda; Insecta; Hymenoptera; Braconidae
Exons: 3
Source: RefSeq, a predicted model, not a curated record
ACGUGCUGCCAUGGUCAGACGUGGAUAAACAUUUGUACGGGCAAGGUGUGCUGCUGCGUAAUAAAUUUUGUUUAAGUGAUAUUGUAUUGAUAUAUAUAUAACCAUUGCUACUUAAAUCGAGUUUGAAUUAAUUAAUAUCGAAGAGCGAUAUUUAAUCUAUUGAAACCCAUUGGAUAUUGGGAAAAACUGACGAUGGAGCCUGUUCGCCGUCUAUACUACAACGACGACUGUAUACGUUAUAAGAAUUUCUACACGCUGCAGUGAAUUGGAAUCUUCAUGAUUCAAUAUUUUUAAUACUAAAUGAUAAUCAACGUGAACAGCUACCAAAUAUUGGCAAUAUUGAACAUCUAAACCUCAUUUUGCAGGAUCCUUAAGAAUCUGUCAAUUAUGUGUUGUUUUGUAUUCCAUUUGAUAUUUAUUUUUAUUUAAUAAUAAAUUUUAACAACCAUUAA